CCUACGGGAGGCAGCAGUGGGGAAUAUUGCGCAAUGGGCGAAAGCCUGACGCAGCGACGCCGCGUGAGGGAUGAAGGUCUGCGGAGCGGAAACCUCUGGCAGCAGGGAAGAACGGUCACGGUGCUAAUCAGCAGUGAAUGGACGGUACCUGCAAAGGAAGCACCGGCUAACUCCGUGCCAGCAGCCGCGGUCAUACGGAGGGUGCGAGCGUUAAUCGGAAUUACUGGGCGUAAAGCGCUCGUAGGCGGUAUGUCAAGUCAAGGGUGAACUCCCCGCGCUCAACGUGGGAACUGCCUUUGAAACUGGCAACCUGGAUUGUGUGAUAGUAUAGUCGACUUC
RNAcentral lists this ribosomal RNA (339 nucleotides) under uncultured bacterium. Its description in RNAcentral is "partial 16S ribosomal RNA". It matches the Rfam family "Bacterial small subunit ribosomal RNA", at positions 338 to 669 of the family's 1533-position model. The record is from RNAcentral.